GAUGAACGCUGACGGCGUGCCUAAUACAUGCCAGUCGAGCGAACAGACGAGGAGCUUGCUCCUCUGACGUUAGCGGCGGACGGGUGAGUAACACGUGGAUAACCUACCUAUAAGACUGGGAUAACUUCGGGAAACCGGAGCUAAUACCGGAUAAUAUAUUGAACCGCAUGGUUCAAUAGUGAAAGACGGUUUUGCUGUCACUUAUAGAUGGAUCCGCGCCGCAUUAGCUAGUUGGUAAGGUAACGGCUUACCAAGGCAACGAUGCGUAGCCGACCUGAGAGGGUGAUCGGCCACACUGGAACUGAGACACGGUCCAGACUCCUACGGGAGGCAGCAGUAGGGAAUCUUCCGCAAUGGGCGAAAGCUUGACGGAGCAACGCCGCGUGAGUGAUGAAGGUCUUCGGAUCGUAAAACUCUGUUAUUAGGGAAGAACAAAUGUGUAAGUAACUAUGCACGUCUUGACGGUACCUAAUCAGAAAGCCACGGCUAACUACGUG
RNAcentral lists this ribosomal RNA (497 nucleotides) under uncultured bacterium. Its description in RNAcentral is "partial 16S ribosomal RNA". It matches the Rfam family "Bacterial small subunit ribosomal RNA", at positions 28 to 507 of the family's 1533-position model. The record is from RNAcentral.